This 1554-nucleotide long non-coding RNA is filed under the name Salmo salar (Atlantic salmon). Its description in RNAcentral is "lncRNA (ENSSSAG00000122011.1)". The record is from RNAcentral. Lineage: Eukaryota; Metazoa; Chordata; Actinopteri; Salmoniformes; Salmonidae.
UGGGUGGAGGCCAAGGGUUAUGUGAAGGUUGGAGGGAAGGAGGGAUCAAUACCAGGGGUGCUGAUGGGAUGGAGGGGUGGAUGCUGGGGUUGUUGGGUUUGGUGGAGGCUGGGGUAAGACUGUGGAGGAGUAGGGGUGGACGCUAAGGGUGUUUGGUGGGGUGGAGGAUGGGGAGGGUUUGAGGGAGUAGGGGUAGAUGGUGAGUUCAGCUACAUGCUACUGUAGGUUACUCCCCCAUAUGGCUGAGUUCUGUUCAGCUACUUUAGGUUACUCUCCCAUACGGCUAAGUUCUGUUCAGCUGCUUUAGGUUACUCUCCCAUAUGGCUGAGUUGACUGUUCAGCUACUGUAGGUUAUUCUCCCAUAUGGCUGAGUUGACUUUUCAGCUACAUGCUACUGUAGGUUAUUCUCCCAUGCUACUGUAGGUUACUCUCCCAUGCUACUGUAGGUUACUCUCUCAUGCUACUGUAGGUUACUCUCCCAUGCUACUGUAGGUUACUCUCCCAUGCUACAGUAGGUUACUCUCCCAUAUGACUGUAGGUUACUCUCCCAUGCUACUGUAGGUUACUCUCCCAAGCUACUGUAGGUUACUCUCCCAUGCUACUGUAGGUUACUCUCCCAUGCUACUGUAGGUUACUCUCCCAUGCUACUGUAGGUUACUCUCCCAAGCUACUGUGGGUUACUCUCCCAAGCUACUGUAGGUUACUCUCCCAUGCUACUGUAGGUUACUCCCCCAUAUGGCUGAGUUCUGUUCAGCUACUUUAGGUUACUCUCCCAUACGGCUAAGUUCUGUUCAGCUGCUUUAGGUUACUCUCCCAUAUGGCUGAGUUGACUGUUCAGCUACUGUAGGUUAUUCUCCCAUAUGGCUGAGUUGACUGUUCAGCUACUGUAGGUUAUUCUCCCAUAUGGCUGAGUUGACUGGUCAGCUACUGUAGGUUAUUCUCCAUAUGGCUGAGUUGACUGUUCAGCUACUGUAGGUUAUUCUCCAUAUGGCUGAGUUGACUUUUCAGCUACAUGCUACUGUAGGUUAUUCUCCCAUGCUACUGUAGGUUACUCUCCCAUGCUACUGUAGGUUACUCUCAUGCUACAGUAGGUUACUCUCCCAUGCUACAGUAGGUUACUCUCCCAUGCUACAGUAGGUUACUCUCUCCCAUGCUACUGUAGGUUACUCUCCCAUGCUACUGUAGGUUACUCUCUCAUGCUACUGUAGGUUACUCUCCCAUGCUACUGUAGGUUACUCUCCCAUGCUACUGUAGGUUACUCUCCCAUGCUACUGUAGGUUACUCUCCCAUGCUACUGUAGGUUACUCUCCCAAGCUACUGUAGGUUACUCUCCCAUGCUACUGUAGGUUACUCUCCCAUGCUACUGUAGGUUACUCUCCCAUGCUACUGUAGGAUAAUAUCUGGAUUGUUUCAUAAUAACUCUUGUCUGGUGUGGGAUGUGCAGUUCCGGAGUGCAGAGAAUAACUUGUACUGAUGUGGAUUGGAGCAAACAAACCAUCUACAUAGUGGUGAUGUGUACGUUUUAGAUUAUAUUAUUACUAUUAUUUUAUUAAG